UACGAAGGGGGCUAGCGUUGUUCGGAAUUACUGGGCGUAAAGGGCGCGUAGGCGGUGUGUCAAGUCAGGCGUGAAAGCCCCGGGCUCAACCUGGGAACCGCGCUUGAGACUGGCACGCUAGAGUUCGGGAGAGGAUGGUGGAAUUCCCAGUGUAGAGGUGAAAUUCGUAGAUAUUGGGAAGAACACCGAUGGCGAAGGCAGCCAUCUGGACCGACACUGACGCUGAGGCGCGAAAGCGUGGGGAGCAAGCAGG
This 253-nucleotide ribosomal RNA is filed under the name uncultured bacterium. RNAcentral's name for it is "partial 16S ribosomal RNA". It matches the Rfam family "Bacterial small subunit ribosomal RNA", at positions 524 to 776 of the family's 1533-position model. The record is from RNAcentral.